AAGAGUGUACUUUCAGGGAUUAUUUCUAUAGUUUGUUCCUAGAGAAGUUUCUCUGAAAUCCCAGAAACCACCAGGCAGAGGUGCGGCAUCCUCUCCUGAGGUGAAGCCGGCUCUUCCUGUGGCUUCACUGCAACUACCUUUUGCCAUGAUCAUCCUUCUCUUCCUCUGGAAGAGAGAAAGGGAGUCAGAACCAGAUUGAGUGCC
Saimiri boliviensis boliviensis (Bolivian squirrel monkey) is the source of this 204-nucleotide small nucleolar RNA. Its record names the gene U3. It matches the Rfam family "Small nucleolar RNA U3". Rfam says of the family: Small nucleolar RNAs (snoRNAs) are involved in the processing and modification of rRNA in the nucleolus. Lineage: Eukaryota; Metazoa; Chordata; Mammalia; Primates; Cebidae. The record is from Ensembl.